GCCACAACGUGUAUUUUUCUAGUGUUCGCUCCUCGUUUGUUCGUCCGUUCAUUGGUUCGUUCGGUUUCGUGUCUAAUGGUUGGUGUCCGCCGUUUUUUUGUUUUUGGUUUGUCAUUUGUUUGUUUGUUGUGAGGCAAAGAAUUUAAAUUCUACCAACAAAAGAACUUCCUUUUGCUAACUAACCACACCAAAAAAACGACGCUGCCAAAAGGAAAUUAAGACGAACGUCGUCCAGUGUGUUAGUCAGUUAGUUUGUGAGUGAGUGAGUGCGUACGUGCUAAUUAACGUGGCCGGCAACUAAAUAAAAGAAAAAUAGAAAGAAAAAAAAUAAAACGACAAAGGAAACGAAAGCAAAAAAAAAACAACCAAAUAUGUAAAUAAAACAAACCAACAACAAACAUUCGUAAAAUAACAAAAUUAAGUGCCGUUUUUUGUGUUCUCAGUUUUGUUUUUGUUGUAAAUUUGUUAAGUUUUUUCUCCGUUGUGUCCCCCUCGGGUUCUGUGUUAAUUCCUUUAAAGAAACCAAUUUCGCGUCAAUAAUUCGUUUAAUGAUUGAUCAUCUUCGGUUUUGUUUCUAAUUGCUCGUUUGAUUUUUUUUCUUCGUGAGAGCGGGAGCAGAGGCAAGAGAUCAAAAAGUAAUCAGGUGGUGUUUCUUUCGAUGUUGAAGCCAGCCGCCUGCCUUUCAAUUGUUGUUAUCCUCUAACGAAUUUCUUCCCCACCCACUUUUCCGGUUUAAAAUUUCGACUCUUGGAAGAAAACGCAGUGUUUAAUUUUUUUCAAGCAACGAAAACUAAAACGAAACUCAGAGAAAGAGAGAAGAAAAUUCAUUAACAAAAAAAGAACGAAGGAAUUUGAAUAGAAAACGAAAGAACCUUCUUACAACUACAACAGCAACAACAACAACAACGAACAACAUCUGAAGCGAAAAAACAACAACAAAGAAACAACAAUACGUUCUUAGAUAAUCAAAAAAGGCACGUCCAGCCAGCCAGCCAGACCUAUUGAACCAAUUCAAAUCCCGAAAAUAAAUAAAAUAACCUUCCGUGGAAAACUCACCCCCCCUCCAACUGCGACGUCUACAAAAGCAACAACAACAACUUAAACAAGCACCAUUGUGUCAAGAGGCUUUUCCUCAAGUAAUCCCCCGAUAUCAACUUACAAUCCAUAUCCCUCGCCACGCGUACACACACACACAACAGCAGCAGGACAACUUGUCUUGCCGGAGGCGACAAAGAAAGUGACUGCUUCUUUGGAAUUUUGAUGCCCUCAGAUUUUUAAAAUCGUUUUAACAACAAAUCCCGUUUUUAUGUUGAUACUCAAACCCAUGCACCACAGAUGAAAUUAACGUCCCGUAUUUGUCAUUGUCCCUGCAGCGCCGAGCCCAUGAGCAAAAGAAGAAACAUAAUGCUCCCUAAGAUGCCAUCGAAGUCCUUUAAAACUAUUUGUUUACUAUUGUUUGUGGCACUGCUAUCAUCAAGCCUAGUGACACCCGUAACGGCCCAAUGUCCUUGGCACCGGGAUUUACCCGAUCUGCAGACAUCCUGCAUUUGCUCAUAUAAUUUGGGUCGUGAACUCUCUGUACAGUGUGAUCAGGUUCACUUCCCCACUCUAUUGGAGGCCUUAAACAAAUAUGUCAAACAGAAACCCAUCGAUUUGCUGUACAUCAACAACUCGACAGUGGGCGAUCUGACAGAUGACAUCUUUGCCAAUUUGAGUCUACACAAUGUCCAGUUGUCCUCGUGUAAGAUAUCCCAAAUUAGUGAUGGUGCUUUCCAUGGACAAGAGGAGGUUUUGAAGAAUCUCAAUCUGCAGGACAAUCUACUCGAAGAAGUGCCCACAACGGCUUUGAGAAUAUUGAAAAUAUUAAACCUCUUAGAUUUAUCCAAGAAUCGUAUAACCAACAUACCCGACGAUGCCUUUAAGGGUUCCUUGCGUUUGUCCACCUUAAAGCUAAAUGACAAUAAUGUCACCCUGGCAGUGGGUGCUUUUCGGGGCCUGGAGAAUAGUUUGAAAAACUUAAAUUUGAAGGGUACCAAACAGCGACGUGUUCCCGAGAGCAUACGAGGUCUGAAAAGUUUGGCAUUCUUAGACUUGUCGUUGAAUGGCAUAAAGGAGUUACCCGGGCCGGGUGGUAUACGCACCUUUGAUGGUUUGGAUUCAUUAACUGCCCUGAAUUUAGAACGAAAUCUUAUUCAAAGUCUGGGAGAAUCAUCAUUUGUGGGCGUCCGCAAAACCCUGAGUUCGUUGAGUUUGUUGAACAAUCUCUUGGCCGAUUUCCCUGUUGGAGCCAUUCAUGCCUUAAAGGAGUUAAGGGUUUUGGAUAUUGGUUUUAACCUCUUGACCAGCCUGCCGGAAACAGCCUUCCGUGGCAAUCCCAGCAUAACCCUGCUGGCCUUGGAUGGCAACCCCCUGGCUACAGUACCUGAAACAGCAUUUCUACACCUGAAUGCCACGCUGCGCGGUUUGUCGUUGGGUGGACGUUUCUUGCACUGUGAUUGCCAUUUGAAAUGGGUGGCCGAGUGGAUACGCAAGGGUGACUUACAGGUAACAUCUCGCGAACGCAAUCCCCAGUUCUGUGGCAGUCCCCCUCACUUCCGUGAUCGUGGCUUCUAUUCCAUACAACCGGAUGAGCUGACCUGCAGCGAAACCGAACCGGAAUUGGUCUUGGAUGACAUUUUGCCAACUGGACAGAAACCCACCGUACCAAGCAAAACCGUGCCUUCUGGUCCCACAAAUGGAGAUGCCUUGGGCAGUAGCCUUCCCACGGCUUCCUCAGUGCCCACCACGGCGGCCACAUUGCCAAGCAGCACUUCAAGUAGCAGUGUUGCACCCACCAUCGCAUCCACCAGCACCACUACAACAACAACCACCACCGUUAAAACGACAAAAGCCACAACCGUAUCCACGCCGGCCGCCCAUUCAUCGGACGAGACGCCCGGCAAUUCGUCUCAACAAGAACAACAACAGCCAGCCAUCCAGCCAACACAUCAAUCAACAUCCGGCAUUGGUUCCGCCUCGCCAACCACCAUUACUCAAUCACAGCAGAGUAAUGGCAAUGCCAAACAAUCACCCUCUUGGCGCCAAAAUUCAAGCGGCGGCAGCAGCAGUAGUUCCGGUGGCCCAGCACACAAACAACAACGUCCACCGCUGGUUUUGGGCUUCCCCCCCCAGCGUGGCACUCGCAUCGAUGACUCCAAUGAGGUUCAAGUGAAAAAUGCCUUCCGUCAGGAUAGUUCGGUUAUCAUUCAAUGGGAUUCCGAUACGGCGAAUAUCUUAGGUUUUCGUGUUGUCUAUCGGCUCUUCGGUGAGAAAUCAUUCAAACAGGGUCCGCCGUUGGAGGCCAGCGAGCGGGAGUUUAAAAUCAAAAAUGUCCCAGCCCAGGAGUGCAUCAUUGUGUGUGUCAUCUCGUUGGAAGAGUUGCAUGUCACACCCGAAACUGUGCCGUAUCAACAGUGUCGGGAGGUGAGGACGGUGGCAUCGCAAACAUCGAAUAUGGAUAAGAUAACGAUAGCCGCAAGUGCGGCCAUCUGUGGAACGAUAAUAGUGGCUGUGAUUGUUUUUAUAGCGGCUAGCAGACGCUCUCGCAAAAUGCAAACCUCACAACAAAAGAGUCCACUGCCAAUUGGAGGUUUGCCCGUAAAUUGUUGUGGUCCAGCCGGUUCACCGGGACCACUUGGCUCAAUCGCAACGCUUUCGGCAUUCAAUAAUCACAAGGAAUGGGAUCAAGUAUCUGCCUACAGUGGCCGCUCUAUACCACGACCACGUGCCUAUCCCAUGGACGCUCAAGAUGAUAUGCGUAGCCAUUUUUCAGGAAUGCCGGGAAAGCUGGCGAAACCCAGAUCCAUUGCUGAUGGCCAAUCGCAGCAUAGCUUUUCAAAUAAUUCACAUCGCGGCUAUUUGGGCACCGCAUUCCCAUCGAAUUUAGUCAAUUCCCGACCUGAAUUGCGGCAAUCACGUCAGUCCCUCGCUGCCCCCUCGGAGAGAAUGUCACGUGCCUCCUAUGCCGGUUCGAUACAUGGCGGUGGUGGCGGAGGCGGUGUCGGUGUCGGGGGUGGUGGUCCCACCAGUGUGGCGUCUAGUACACGCCGUUCACGGCCGCGUUCUAGAUCACGCGAUCAAUUGAAUGCCACGCAUAUACAUAAUCAUCGACCUGGAAGUCGAUAUGGCUACUAAUGGAAUUACCACAAAUUGUUAAUGUUUUCUAUUAAAUAUUCUACGAGAAAUUGCACGUUGAUUGACUCCUCCAUAAGUUAUUAGAUUUUUUUCCUGCAAACAAAUGAGAAAACAUGCCAAAAAAACACCCACACAUAUACCAAAACUAGUUUGUAUACUCCACCGCCGGCUCAACCCACACCCUCAACAAUUAUUGCGACACAUCGGAUAAUUGGACCGAUCACGAUAUGGACAUCUAUAUGGCUAGAAAUCCAACGACACGCAAUGGUCUGGUGCCAUUAUGAGGGCGGGUUAU
Molecule: RNA transcript, 4468 nt
Organism: Musca domestica (house fly)
Lineage: Eukaryota; Metazoa; Arthropoda; Insecta; Diptera; Muscidae
Gene: haf
Gene name: leucine-rich repeat and fibronectin type-III domain-containing protein 3
Exons: 15
Source: RefSeq, a predicted model, not a curated record